GGUAAAUAUUCUUCCUUUGGUGUUAGCCAAAUGGACUCUAGGACCAUCCCAUCAUACAUCCAGCCUUCCAUCCAUCAUCACGUUUUCUAAUCACUUCCUCCUAACUCUUCCACAUCAUUCUUCACUACAUCUUCCCAUCUCAUUCUUGGUCUUCCAAUGGGUCUUUUUCAUGUAGGGUUUUUUUCUAGUAUCGUGCGGAGUAAUGGGUUUUGGUUUUUUUAAAUGUGUCCUGCCCCUUGUAGUCUCUUAUUUCUUAUUUCCUCAAUGACGUUUGUUUUUUUCAAGUAAAUAUAUACAAUUAAUUUUUUUUUCUAAUAUUUUUAUUGGCUGUUUGUUUUUGUUAUAGCUAUACCAGUUAGAAAACAUUAAAAUUGUAAGAGUUGAAUCUAAAUUGAACGAUUGUUUUUAUAGAGACAAAAUUUUAAAACAAAUUUUAACCCCCUUCAUUUACUAAAUUGAGUACAUUGAUUUUAUUGGUACUAUUGAUGCAUUUAUAUUUAAUUUAUUUGAAAUUCCUAAUGACUAUAUGGUAAUGUAUUAAUAACUCCCAUUUAACGAUUGUAUUAUUGCUAAGUUUCACUAUUACUAAACUAUUAUUACUAUUACAUUAUAUUUAUUAGCAUUAUGUUGCUUUUUUUUUAUAGAUUUCUUUAAAUGUGAUAUAUGUAGCCCUCAAAAAGUUUAAAGGAUUGUUUUCUAGAUCACUGGAUUUAGUUGGAUUUUAUAACAUUAAUGAUCUAAUAACAAAUUGUAAACCAAUGAUAACUGUAAGUAUUUAUACAUUUUGUAAAAAUAACUGGAAUGAUUUUCUCAUUUUAUCGAUUAUCUAUUUGUAUGUAUAUAAUUAAUAUAUUUAUUUGUGUGUUAGUGAAAUACUGUCACUAUAGAAUUGAUUGUAUAUGUUUACUCUAUGUUAAAAGGCAAAUCCCGUAAAAUAAAAAAAAAAAACAUCAAGUACCAGUUACCUUUGACCAAAUGUACCAGUUGCCUUUAGCCAAAUAUACCAGAUGUACUCAAUAUAUAAAAUAUAGUACCUAACUCAGAAUACAAAGAGGGACAUUUUAACCUGUGUAUUAUUUAAAGUACAGCUAAUAGGGAAAAAACCUAACCUUUUUAAUAGUCGAUAGGUAUAGUUAGUUAUAGGUACCUACCUAAUUAAUAAAUACCACGAACAGUAACCACCAAUAAUAUUAAUGUAAAAUAAAGGCCAUUUUUGGACUCGGACGAAUCAGAGAAGUUUCUCUGAUUCGUCCGAAAAAAAAAAAAAAAGGAUUUACUUAUAUCUAAGUGAGUGUCAAGUUUAAAUUAUAAAAACAAUUAGUUGUUUACUACUAAAUUUUGAGCUUAACAAUUUUUA
This is a non-coding RNA of Cinara cedri, 1357 nucleotides long. NCBI's taxonomy places the organism in Eukaryota, Metazoa, Arthropoda, Insecta, Hemiptera, Aphididae. The record is from the annotation of a GenBank genome assembly.